Schistosoma curassoni is the source of this 45-nucleotide non-coding RNA. NCBI's taxonomy places the organism in Eukaryota, Metazoa, Platyhelminthes, Trematoda, Strigeidida, Schistosomatidae. The record is from Rfam.
AUUCAGAUGACGAGUCCUAAAUAAAAAGAAACCCGCGUCCUGGAU